RNAcentral lists this ribosomal RNA (384 nucleotides) under uncultured bacterium. RNAcentral's name for it is "bacterial SSU rRNA". It matches the Rfam family "Bacterial small subunit ribosomal RNA", at positions 29 to 416 of the family's 1533-position model. The record is from RNAcentral.
AUUGAACGCUGGCGGCAUGCUUUACACAUGCAAGUCGAACGGUAACAGGCCUUCGGGUGCUGACGAGUGGCGAACGGGUGAGUAAUGCAUCGGAACGUGCCCAAUCGUGGGGGAUAACGUAGCGAAAGUUACGCUAAUACCGCAUGAGCCCUGAGGGGGAAAGCAGGGGAUCGCAAGACCUUGCGCGAAUGGAGCGGCCGAUGUCAGAUUAGCUAGUUGGUGGGGUAAAGGCCUACCAAGGCGACGAUCUGUAGCGGGUCUGAGAGGAUGAUCCGCCACACUGGGACUGAGACACGGCCCAGACUCCUACGGGAGGCAGCAGUGGGGAAUUUUGGACAAUGGGCGCAAGCCUGAUCCAGCCAUGCCGCGUGCGGGACGAAGGCC